RNAcentral lists this transfer RNA (83 nucleotides) under Pseudomonadota bacterium. Its description in RNAcentral is "tRNA-Leu". RNAcentral also lists the same sequence under 1 other name. The record is from RNAcentral. Lineage: Bacteria; Pseudomonadati; Pseudomonadota.
GCCCGCCUGGCGGAAUUGGCAUACGCGGCAGGUUGAGGGCCUGUGUCCGUUUGGACGUCUGGGUUCGAGUCCCAGGGCGGGCA